GAUACCAGGGUCAAAAGGUCAUGCGUUUCAUGAUUGCAUGAAAAAGCAUGAGUUUGGAACCCGCAAAACAUGAGAAAGUAGCCCGAAUAGGGCGGAUUUCGAAUGUUUUUAGAAUUGUGAGAGCGCGAAGUGCGUAGCAAUCCGUAGGUAUC
RNAcentral lists this small RNA (152 nucleotides) under chicken gut metagenome. RNAcentral's name for it is "Clostridiales-1 RNA". It matches the Rfam family "Clostridiales-1 RNA". The record is from RNAcentral.